RNAcentral lists this small nuclear RNA (25 nucleotides) under Arabidopsis thaliana (thale cress). RNAcentral describes it as "snRNA_11355". Lineage: Eukaryota; Viridiplantae; Streptophyta; Magnoliopsida; Brassicales; Brassicaceae. The record is from RNAcentral.
UGGAACAGUUGGAAGCAGCAAUGCC